This 118-nucleotide non-coding RNA is filed under the name Microbulbifer donghaiensis. Its description in RNAcentral is "TPP sequence". It matches the Rfam family "TPP riboswitch aptamer (THI element)". Rfam says of the family: Vitamin B(1) in its active form thiamin pyrophosphate (TPP) is an essential coenzyme that is synthesised by coupling of pyrimidine and thiazole moieties in bacteria. The record is from RNAcentral. Lineage: Bacteria; Pseudomonadati; Pseudomonadota; Gammaproteobacteria; Cellvibrionales; Microbulbiferaceae.
GCAAUACCUAAGGGGUGGCUACGGCCUGAGAUGCGCUUCGGAUCUGCACGAUCGCGAACCGCAAACCCUUGAACCUGAUCCGGUUAAUACCGGCGUAGGAAUAGGUCGGGGUCCAGGC